GUCUUUGGCCAUGGCACUCUGAAUGUACCCCAUCUCAUCUGAUCUCAGAAGCUAAGCAGGAUCAAGCCUGGCUAGUACUUGGAAGGAAAAAAAAAUCAAAUUUUAAAAGGGGGUGGCUGGAGAGA
This 125-nucleotide ribosomal RNA is filed under the name Jaculus jaculus (lesser Egyptian jerboa). Lineage: Eukaryota; Metazoa; Chordata; Mammalia; Rodentia; Dipodidae. The record is from RNAcentral.